AGAAUCAACGCUGGCGGCGUGCCUCAGACAUGCAAGUCGAACGCGAAAGUCCCCUUCGGGGGCAAGUAGAGUGGCGCACGGGUGAGUAACACGUAGGUAAUCUACCUUUGGAUGGGGAAUAACAACCGGAAACGGUUGCUAAUACCGCAUAAUGCAGCGGCACCUAAUGGUGACAGUUGUUAAAGCGGGGGAUCGAAAGACCUCGCGUCUGAAGAGGAGCCUGCGGCGGAUUAGCUAGUUGGUAGGGUAACGGCCUACCAAGGCUACGAUCC
This 272-nucleotide ribosomal RNA is filed under the name uncultured soil bacterium. RNAcentral describes it as "partial 16S ribosomal RNA". It matches the Rfam family "Bacterial small subunit ribosomal RNA", at positions 26 to 282 of the family's 1533-position model. The record is from RNAcentral.